This 468-nucleotide ribosomal RNA is filed under the name Comamonadaceae bacterium. RNAcentral's name for it is "bacterial SSU rRNA". It matches the Rfam family "Bacterial small subunit ribosomal RNA", at positions 391 to 852 of the family's 1533-position model. Lineage: Bacteria; Pseudomonadati; Pseudomonadota; Betaproteobacteria; Burkholderiales; Comamonadaceae. The record is from RNAcentral.
GCAAUGCCGCGUGCAGGAUGAAGGCCUUCGGGUUGUAAACUGCUUUUGUACGGAACGAAACGGCGAGCUCUAAUACAGUUUGCUAAUGACGGUACCGUAAGAAUAAGCACCGGCUAACUACGUGCCAGCAGCCGCGGUAAUACGUAGGGUGCGAGCGUUAAUCGGAAUUACUGGGCGUAAAGCGUGCGCAGGCGGUGAUGUAAGACAGAUGUGAAAUCCCCGGGCUCAACCUGGGACCUGCAUUUGUGACUGCAUCGCUAGAGUACGGCAGAGGGGGAUGGAAUUCCGCGUGUAGCAGUGAAAUGCGUAGAUAUGCGGAGGAACACCGAUGGCGAAGGCAAUCCCCUGGGCCUGUACUGACGCUCAUGCACGAAAGCGUGGGGAGCAAACAGGAUUAAAUACCCUGGUAGUCCACGCCCUAAACGAUGUCAACUGGUUGUUGGGUCUUCACUGACUCACUAACGAAGC